AGUGAACGCUGGCGGUAUGCCUAACACAUGCAAGUCGAACGGCAGCACAGUAAGAGCUUGCUCUUACGGGUGGCGAGUGGCGGACGGGUGAGGAAUACAUCGGAAUCUACUUUUUCGUGGGGGAUAACGUAGGGAAACUUACGCUAAUACCGCAUACUACCUACGGGUGAAAGCAGGGGAUCUUCGGACCUUGCGCGAUUGAAUGAGCCGAUGUCGGAUUAGCUAGUUGGCGGGGUAAAGGCCCACCAAGGCGACGAUCCGUAGCUGGUCUGAGAGGAUGAUCAGCCACACUGGAACUGAGACACGGUCCAGACUCCUACGGGAGGCAGCAGUGGGGAAUAUUGGACAAUGGGCGCAAGCCUGAUCCAGCCAUACCGCGUGGGUGAAGAAGGCCUUCGGGUUGUAAAGCCCUUUUGUUGGGAAAGAAAAGCAGCAGGUUAAUACCCCGCUGUUCUGACGGUACCCAAAGAAUAAGCACCGGCUAACUUCGUG
This 492-nucleotide ribosomal RNA is filed under the name uncultured bacterium. RNAcentral's name for it is "partial 16S ribosomal RNA". It matches the Rfam family "Bacterial small subunit ribosomal RNA", at positions 29 to 507 of the family's 1533-position model. The record is from RNAcentral.